Molecule: ribosomal RNA, 468 nt
Filed under: uncultured bacterium
Lineage: Bacteria
Description: partial 16S ribosomal RNA
Rfam family: Bacterial small subunit ribosomal RNA
Source: RNAcentral
GACGAACGCUGGCGGCGUGCUUAACACAUGCAAGUCGAACGGACAGACCCUGCUUUUGUGGGUUGCUCGAGUGGCGAGCGGGUGAGUAACACGUGAGUAACCUGCCCUUGUCUUUGGGAUAACUUCAGGAAACUGGGGCUCAUACCGGAUAGGAGCUCCUGCUGCAUGGUGGGGGUUGGAGAGUUUCGGCGGUUGGGGCUGGACUCGCGGGUUAUCAGCUUGUUGGGGGGGUAGUGGAUUACAAAGCCUUUGAAGGGUAGCCGGCCUGAGAGGGUGACCGGCGACAUGGGGACUGCGGGACGGCCCAGAAUGCUACGGGAGGCAGCAGUGGGGAAUAUUGCAGAGUGGGCGGAAGCCUGAGGUAGCGACGCCGGGUGCGUGAUGACGUCCUUCGGGGUGUAAACAGAUGUCGCCUGUAACGAAGCGUUAGUGACGGUAAUGGGUAAAGAAGCACCGGCUAACUACGUG